This 215-nucleotide long non-coding RNA is filed under the name Gossypium raimondii (Peruvian cotton). RNAcentral's name for it is "long non-coding RNA (GRAI_LNC002762)". The record is from RNAcentral. Lineage: Eukaryota; Viridiplantae; Streptophyta; Magnoliopsida; Malvales; Malvaceae.
GGUUUGAGGCUUAAUGUAAUCUGGGCUUGGAUUUGAACUUGUAAUACUGGACUGUAUUGGACUCUUAUCAUAUUUAUCAUUUUUUUGUUUUUCUGCUUAUUUUGAAUGGGCCCCGGGCAAAUUGGGCCUAUUACAAAUACCACUGAGUUUUACUCAGCGUACGGUUUUAUUUCUCAUGCGCAGGUUAGGUACUUAACUUUUAAUCGCCGAUUUAG